ACAGCGGUAGCUCAGUUUGGUAGAGCAUAAGGCAGCCCAAUCACCAAAUUAUCCGAUAAAGGUCAAUGGUGGUUUACUACAUAGUUUUAGUGUCGCAGGUUCGACUCCUGCCCGCUGUC
This 119-nucleotide transfer RNA is filed under the name Hoylesella nanceiensis. Its description in RNAcentral is "tRNA-OTHER". It matches the Rfam family "tRNA". From Rfam's summary of the family: Transfer RNA (tRNA) molecules are approximately 80 nucleotides in length. Their secondary structure includes four short double-helical elements and three loops (D, anti-codon, and T loops). The record is from RNAcentral. Lineage: Bacteria; Pseudomonadati; Bacteroidota; Bacteroidia; Bacteroidales; Prevotellaceae.